GACGAACGCUGGCGGCGUGCUUAACACAUGCAAGUCGAACGGUAAGGCCCUUCGGGGUACACGAGUGGCGAACGGGUGAGUAACACGUGGGUGAUCUGCCCUGCACUUCGGGAUAAGCCGGGGAAAAUGGGUCUAAUACCGUAUAGGAACACUGCCUGCAUGGGGGGUGGUGGACAGCCUUUGCGGGGUGGGAUGGGCCCGUGGCCUAUCAGCUGGUUGGUGGGGUGAUGGCCUACCAAGGCGACGACGGGUCGCCGGCCUGAGAGGGUGACCGGCCACACUGGGACUGAGAUACGGCCCAGACUCCUACGGGAGGCAGCAGUGGGGAAUAUUGCACAAUGGGCGCAAGCCUGAUGCAGCGACGCCGCGUGAGGGAUGACGGCCUUCGGGUUGUAAACCUCUUUCAGCACCGACGAAGCGCAAGUGACGGUAGGUGCAGAAGAAGGACCGGCCAACUACGUGCCAGCCGCCGCAGUAA
Molecule: ribosomal RNA, 478 nt
Filed under: uncultured bacterium
Lineage: Bacteria
Description: partial 16S ribosomal RNA
Rfam family: Bacterial small subunit ribosomal RNA
Source: RNAcentral